GGCUGGUGUGAGUGCAGUGGUGUUUCCGACUGAUCACAACCAGUUACAGAUUACUUUGUCUCUUCUCCAUUCCCACUGCCUUACUUGAUUAGACUUAA
This is an unclassified non-coding RNA of Otolemur garnettii (small-eared galago), 98 nucleotides long. It matches the Rfam family "Y RNA". From Rfam's summary of the family: Y RNAs are components of the Ro ribonucleoprotein particle (Ro RNP), in association with Ro60 and La proteins. The Y RNAs and Ro60 and La proteins are well conserved, but the function of the Ro RNP is not known. Lineage: Eukaryota; Metazoa; Chordata; Mammalia; Primates; Galagidae. The record is from Ensembl.